Molecule: ribosomal RNA, 115 nt
Filed under: Candidatus Peregrinibacteria bacterium CG10_big_fil_rev_8_21_14_0_10_49_16
Lineage: Bacteria; Candidatus Peregrinibacteriota
Also listed under: 1 other name
Source: RNAcentral
CUUGGUGAUUCUAGCGAAGGGGGUACACCCGUUCCCAUUCCGAAUACGGAAGUUAAGCCCUUCAGCGCCGAUGGUAGUUGGGUUUUUACCCUGCGAGAGUAGGUCAUCGCCAAGA